RNAcentral lists this ribosomal RNA (1540 nucleotides) under Staphylococcus aureus VET1779S. RNAcentral's name for it is "16S ribosomal RNA". It matches the Rfam family "Bacterial small subunit ribosomal RNA". The record is from RNAcentral. Lineage: Bacteria; Bacillati; Bacillota; Bacilli; Caryophanales; Staphylococcaceae.
AGAGUUUGAUCCUGGCUCAGGAUGAACGCUGGCGGCGUGCCUAAUACAUGCAAGUCGAGCGAACGGACGAGAAGCUUGCUUCUCUGAUGUUAGCGGCGGACGGGUGAGUAACACGUGGAUAACCUACCUAUAAGACUGGGAUAACUUCGGGAAACCGGAGCUAAUACCGGAUAAUAUUUUGAACCGCAUGGUUCAAAAGUGAAAGACGGUCUUGCUGUCACUUAUAGAUGGAUCCGCGCUGCAUUAGCUAGUUGGUAAGGUAACGGCUUACCAAGGCAACGAUGCAUAGCCGACCUGAGAGGGUGAUCGGCCACACUGGAACUGAGACACGGUCCAGACUCCUACGGGAGGCAGCAGUAGGGAAUCUUCCGCAAUGGGCGAAAGCCUGACGGAGCAACGCCGCGUGAGUGAUGAAGGUCUUCGGAUCGUAAAACUCUGUUAUUAGGGAAGAACAUAUGUGUAAGUAACUGUGCACAUCUUGACGGUACCUAAUCAGAAAGCCACGGCUAACUACGUGCCAGCAGCCGCGGUAAUACGUAGGUGGCAAGCGUUAUCCGGAAUUAUUGGGCGUAAAGCGCGCGUAGGCGGUUUUUUAAGUCUGAUGUGAAAGCCCACGGCUCAACCGUGGAGGGUCAUUGGAAACUGGAAAACUUGAGUGCAGAAGAGGAAAGUGGAAUUCCAUGUGUAGCGGUGAAAUGCGCAGAGAUAUGGAGGAACACCAGUGGCGAAGGCGACUUUCUGGUCUGUAACUGACGCUGAUGUGCGAAAGCGUGGGGAUCAAACAGGAUUAGAUACCCUGGUAGUCCACGCCGUAAACGAUGAGUGCUAAGUGUUAGGGGGUUUCCGCCCCUUAGUGCUGCAGGUAACGCAUUAAGCACUCCGCCUGGGGAGUACGACCGCAAGGUUGAAACUCAAAGGAAUUGACGGGGACCCGCACAAGCGGUGGAGCAUGUGGUUUAAUUCGAAGCAACGCGAAGAACCUUACCAAAUCUUGACAUCCUUUGACAACUCUAGAGAUAGAGCCUUCCCCUUCGGGGGACAAAGUGACAGGUGGUGCAUGGUUGUCGUCAGCUCGUGUCGUGAGAUGUUGGGUUAAGUCCCGCAACGAGCGCAACCCUUAAGCUUAGUUGCCAUCAUUAAGUUGGGCACUCUAAGUUGACUGCCGGUGACAAACCGGAGGAAGGUGGGGAUGACGUCAAAUCAUCAUGCCCCUUAUGAUUUGGGCUACACACGUGCUACAAUGGACAAUACAAAGGGCAGCGAAACCGCGAGGUCAAGCAAAUCCCAUAAAGUUGUUCUCAGUUCGGAUUGUAGUCUGCAACUCGACUACAUGAAGCUGGAAUCGCUAGUAAUCGUAGAUCAGCAUGCUACGGUGAAUACGUUCCCGGGUCUUGUACACACCGCCCGUCACACCACGAGAGUUUGUAACACCCGAAGCCGGUGGAGUAACCUUUUAGGAGCUAGCCGUCGAAGGUGGGACAAAUGAUUGGGGUGAAGUCGUAACAAGGUAGCCGUAUCGGAAGGUGCGGCUGGAUCACCU